CCCGCGCCGUAUUAGCUAGUUGGUGGGGUAACGGCCUACCAAGGCGACGAUACGUAGCCGACCUGAGAGGGUGAUCGGCCACACUGGAACUGAGACACGGUCCAGACUCCUACGGGAGGCAGCAGUAGGGAAUCUUCCGCAAUGGGCGAAAGCCUGACGGAGCAACGCCGCGUGAGUGAUGAAGGUCUUCGGAUCGUAAAGCUCUGUUGUUAGGGAAGAACAAAUGUGUAAGUAACUGUGCACAUCUUGACGGUACCUAACCAGAAAGCCACGGCUAACUACGUGCCAGCAGCCGCGGUAAUACGUAGGUGGCAAGCGUUAUCCGGAAUUAUUGGGCGUAAAGCGCGCGUAGGCGGUUUUUUAAGUCUGAUGUGAAAGCCCACGGCUCAACCGUGGAGGGUCAUUGGAAACUGGAAAACUUGAGUGCAGAAGAGGAAAGUGGAAUUCCAUGUGUAGCGGUGAAAUGCGCAGAGAUAUGGAGGAACACCAGUGGCGAAGGCGGCUUUCUGGUCUGCAACUGACGCUGAUGUGCGAAAGCGUGGGGAUCAAACAGGAUUAGAUACCCUGGUAGUCCACGCCGUAAACGAUGAGUGCUAAGUGUUAGGGGGUUUCCGCCCCUUAGUGCUGCAGCUAACGCAUUAAGCACUCCGCCUGGGGAGUACGGUCGCAAGACUGAAACUCAAAGGAAUUGACGGGGACCCGCACAAGCGGUGGAGCAUGUGGUUUAAUUCGAAGCAACGCGAAGAACCUUACCAAAUCUUGACAUCCUUUGACCGCUCUAGAGAUAGAGUUUUCCUCUUCGGAGGACAAAGUGACAGGUGGUGCAUGGUUGUCGUCAGCUCGUGUCGUGAGAUGUUGGGUUAAGUCCCGCAACGAGCGCAACCCUUGAACUUAGUUGCCAUCAUUCAGUUGGGCACUCUAAGUUGACUGCCGGUGACAAACCGGAGGAAGGUGGGGAUGACGUCAAAUCAUCAUGCCCCUUAUGAUUUGGGCUACACACGUGCUACAAUGGACAAUACAAAGGGCAGCGAAACCGCGAGGUCAAGCAAAUCCCAUAAAGUUGUUCUCAGUUCGGAUUGUAGUCUGCAACUCGACUACAUGAAGCUGGAAUCGCUAGUAAUCGUAGAUCAGCAUGCUACGGUGAAUACGUUCCCGGGUCUUGUACACACCGCCCGUCACACCACGAGAGUUUGUAACACCCGAAGCCGGUGGAGUAACCAUUUUGGAGCUAGCCGUCGAAGGUGGGACAAAUGAUUGGGGUGAAGUCGUAACAAGGUAGCCGUAUCGGAAGGUGCGGCUGGAU
This 1303-nucleotide ribosomal RNA is filed under the name Staphylococcus pseudintermedius. RNAcentral describes it as "bacterial SSU rRNA". It matches the Rfam family "Bacterial small subunit ribosomal RNA", at positions 230 to 1523 of the family's 1533-position model. Lineage: Bacteria; Bacillati; Bacillota; Bacilli; Caryophanales; Staphylococcaceae. The record is from RNAcentral.